This 253-nucleotide ribosomal RNA is filed under the name uncultured bacterium. RNAcentral's name for it is "partial 16S ribosomal RNA". It matches the Rfam family "Bacterial small subunit ribosomal RNA", at positions 524 to 776 of the family's 1533-position model. The record is from RNAcentral.
UACGGGGGGGGCAAGCGUUGUUCGGAAUUACUGGGCGUAAAGGGCUCGUAGGCGGCCAACUAAGUCAUACGUGAAAUCCCUCGGCUUAACCGGGGAACUGCGUCUGAUACUGGAUGGCUUGAGUUCGGGAGAGGGAUGCGGAAUUCCAGGUGUAGCGGUGAAAUGCGUAGAUAUCUGGAGGAACACCGGUGGCGAAGGCGGGUCUCUGGGCAUUUCCUGACGCUGAGGCGCGAAAGCGUGGGGAGCAAACGGG